Molecule: ribosomal RNA, 507 nt
Filed under: Triticum aestivum (bread wheat)
Lineage: Eukaryota; Viridiplantae; Streptophyta; Magnoliopsida; Poales; Poaceae
Description: partial small subunit ribosomal RNA
Source: RNAcentral
AUGAGAAGAAUGGAAAGACAACCAAAUCAGGAAAUUUCGGAUCCAAUGGCUACAAUUGGGCUUGAACCUUCGGUUGAUGGACACAACUCAAACAGAAAAAGAGUGCUUGCUCCUCCGGUUGAUGGACUCCAACUUGUUAAAAAACGAUCAAAUAAUUUACAGAACAAGCCAAGUGGAUCAAGCGAUGUAGAUUUGCAAGCAUCAAACAAGAAUUCUGUUUCAGAUAAGAACAAAGAAACUAUGGUUCAUAAUGGUGGCAGUGCACGGCAACUAGAAAAAUGUUCUGUUGCACACAAGAAUGUUGUCCAGAACCAAGAAACUUAUGAUCAUAAUUUCAGUGCUUUGCAAGGGGAAAUAAAUUCUGCUGCACAUAAGGUAUAUUUCCGUUACCAUAUACAAUAUGUUCAAAAUACAUUGCUCCGAUGGUUAUGUAUCUACUGGCCGUCUUGCUAUCAGAAUGCUGUUCAGAACAAAGAAACUUUGCUUGAGACUGUCAGUGCACGUUAG